UUUUUGAUUAAACAUGUUUAUUACAUGUGCAACUUUUUGCUUUUUUUUUUCUCCAAAUGCUUCAAGAGAAUGGAACUUAGGUGGCUAUAUUCAUUAUAUCUGGUUAAUUCUAAAAACCUGAAUAUUCAUUUUUUGUAUGUCUCCUAAAUAAUGGUGGAUGUAUGCAUGGUAAACCAUUGAUAGGUGCAAAACUUCCUUGUU
RNAcentral lists this unclassified non-coding RNA (201 nucleotides) under Hevea brasiliensis (rubber tree). The record is from RNAcentral. Lineage: Eukaryota; Viridiplantae; Streptophyta; Magnoliopsida; Malpighiales; Euphorbiaceae.